Hydnum rufescens UP504 is the source of this 74-nucleotide non-coding RNA. Lineage: Eukaryota; Fungi; Basidiomycota; Agaricomycetes; Cantharellales; Hydnaceae. The record is from the annotation of a GenBank genome assembly.
GGGGGGGUAGCUUAGUGGGUAGAGCACCUGACUAAAAGGCAGGAGGUUGCGGGUUCAAACCCCUAUCAUCCUCA